This 5443-nucleotide long non-coding RNA is filed under the name Sus scrofa (pig). RNAcentral's name for it is "lncRNA (ENSSSCG00040028548.1)". The record is from RNAcentral. Lineage: Eukaryota; Metazoa; Chordata; Mammalia; Artiodactyla; Suidae.
UUUUUUUUUUUUUGGUCUUUUUAGGGCUGUACAUGCUGCAUAUGGAGGGUCCCAGGCUAGGGGUCGAAUUGGAGCUACCACUGCUGGCCUACAAUCACAGCCACAGCAACGAGAGAUCCUAGUUGUAUUUGUGACCUACACCACAGCUCAAGGCAGAGCUGGAUCCUUAACCCACUGAGCAAGGUCAGGGAUCAAACCCACGUCCUCAUGGAUACUAGUCAGGCUGUGCACCACUGAGCCACAACAGAACUCCAAACCUCACCUUUAAAUGGAAAGCAAUCACCCUAAGCAAGAGAGAGAAAAUGCUAACACGCAUUAUUCAAACAUGCAGUAAAGCUUUUAUUACAGCAGAGUUUUAGAUUUACGGCAAAGCUACAAGAACGUCAGCGCGUCCCCCUCUUCUCCCAUCUUCCAUGAGUCUGGUGCUUCUUGACUGCUCAUCGGGUGACAGUGACACAUUGCUCUUAACUCCUAUCUUCUUGAUCUGGAUUUCCCUCAUUUUCCCUUAAUGUCUGUUAGUGGCACUGGGCUCUGCCGAGGGUAUCACAGAACGUGUACUGACCACAUCUCCUCUGGCUCCUCUAGGCUCUGACCAUGUCUCAGACUGCCUCUGUCCUCGAGGAUCUCGAGAGCUGAGGGAUAGUGGUCAGGUAUUUUCUACAAUGCGUUUCGAUUUUGUUUUUCCAGUGUUUUUCUCAUGAUUCAAUUGGAGUUACAAAGUCCUUGAGGGACCACACAAGUCAAGUGCCCCUCUCAUGACAUCACAUGAAGGUUACGGACAGGUACCCAUGACAUAUCCCAGUUCAUACUGAUCUUGAUCAUGGGGCCGAUGAAGUGUUUAUCAGCUAAGAUCAUUCAUCUUUUCCUUCUGAAGAGUUUUUUCCUUUUUCGGGUCUUUGCUUUUUAAGAGCUGCGCUGUGGCAGAUGGAAGCUCCCAGGUUACGGGUUGAAAUGGAGCUACAGCUGCCAGCCUACAUCACAAUCACAGCAACAUGGGGUCCCUCCCAUGUCCAGGACCUACACCACAGCUCAGCUCAUGACAAUGCCAGAUCAUUAACCGCUGGACGAGGCCAGGGAUUGAACCCAGGUCCUCAUGGAUACUAGUUGGGUUUCUUUCCACUGAGCCACAGUGGGAACUCCUGAGGAGUAUUUUUAACAAUCUAAGAUUCAAAUAUUAAACUUCAGAGCAUCUAAAUCCUAGUGAAGGGUAUUAACCUACACGUACAUGUGAGCUGUCCUUUGUGGAAGUGCCUCCAGGUUUGCUACAGGGGUGGGGAAGCACCUGAGCAGGAGAAAGGCAGAGAAACCCCAGCUCUCCCAUGAACAGGGCUUUUGUGUGACCAAAAGAAUACAAGCCUCUGGGGUUGAACAGGUAUCCUUGCUGAAGGUAGAAUCAUGAAUUGAAGUGGACAGAGUCGAUAUUAUUUGGGAAGCAAGGGAAGUCAUUGUAACACCAAGACUGUAAAUACACAACGUCAAAUGGCAUCCAUGUUUGCUUCUCUUUCCUGCAACAGCCUGGAGAGGGCUGGGAGGUUAGCGUUGCCAGGCUCAACACAUAGCUCGGCACCUGUGAGUCGAGACCAACGGCUCCAUGUGUCAACAGUGCUAAGCUAACAGGAAGCAAGGAAGAACCCAAGAAAUUGUCUUUCCGUCUCAAGAAUCAGAGGCAGAGACUGUUCCUGUCCCUGCCAUUCUAUUCAGUAACAUAACCACAGAUCACGUGGGGCCAAGCAGCAUGUAACAGGAUGCCCAUCUGCUUGCUAAAGCCCAGUUAGGUUUAUGCAAAUAAAGAAGAAAACGGGUCCUGGGAGAAUCAACACUGCUCACCACGACAUCUUUACCUGAACACCUGGUGUCAGGUUGUUUGAAUACCUGAUGUCACGUUCAAAUCAACUCUUCAAAUAAAAAGACAACAUCUGGACCAACACUGCAAAUGCAAUCAGCAUCUCUGAGUUUCCUCAUCUAUAUCAUUCUCCAAGUCCCCCCCAUGCAUCUCCAACCAAGUGAGUACAAAGGGGCUGAAAGCUCCUGAAAAAUUCGGGGGGGGGGCCUCAUCUCGCUCAUCUUCCCCGGAUGCAACGUUAAUUUUUGUUUCAAUAUUUCAGUAGGGAAGCCGGGCUUCAAUUCUUCCUACCACACAAAUCCUCACUCCAUAGACUGUGGAGACACAGGAGGCAACUCUGUUUCUGUUCUGUGUCCUCACUCAGGACUUGAGCAAAUGAGCUCCCACCCCUCCCAGCCUAUUUGUACCUGGCUCCCAGAAUCGCCCACUGACUGGGAGCAUCGUGUGCACUCUGGGUCCCGGCGGUUCCCAUCAGCUCAGAGGCAGUGUUAAGGAUGACCCAGGAUGCACUGCACUCUCUUCUGGUGGUCUGCGGACACCCAGGGAAAGGCUGCCAGCCCGCCAGAGGAAAGCCAGAGGAAGAUGUGCACGUCCACACGUGCCUCAUUUCAGGCACCUGGCCUGGGUCCACGGCAUCCCCUUCAUGCAAAGGUCGCGGGGAUGACAGAGAGACUAGGACGCCUUCUCUGCUGAACCUGGCUUCUGGUUCCCAGUCCAACUGGGCUGCAUGUGCCCAGAUCACGCUUGAUGCUAGAAAGGCUCCUAGACACUCCAGCACAAAGCAAAUGCCAAGAGCAUGAGAUGGACACUAAACCAUCCACGGACCCCAUAGGAGGCCUGGCAAACAACCAGCAACACUGAAAAUUCAGAGAGCUCAUCCUUACACCCUGAGGCAGGUUGCAGCCUUCUGACCUAACAGUGCCGAUUCCUCAUGGUAUACCCAGCAAAAGCACUCAUGUGAUAGCCAGCUAAAGUGACUCGAGCCCAGACUCCACUACUGAGAGCAGCCUAAUAAAACAUUCCGGAGAUAAGACACAGCUCUGCUUGAGCCUGUGCAUCCCAUGGGAACACCCUCCUGGAGCAAGAACAAACAUUAUCAAUAAUCCUGCAUUCUCUGAGCAUCCUAGAGUGGCUUUUAUGGGUAUUACACUUAAACCACAUAAAUUCAAUCCAUGCUUCCUCAUUUAUCCAUCUAAGUGACAAAUAAGGGAAAAUAUACAGGAAAACAUUCAUAAUUUUCUGACUUAAGGACAAGGUGCAAUUAAUGAUAACUGGUUCAAUACCCCCAAGUUAACUUACUUUCAGAAUGAAAACAAAUAAGUUAGCAGAGUCUUAAAUUGCGAAGGAUUCCGAAAUGAAGAUGCGUAUCUUGAGGAUUUGCUGAAUUUAUUGAAACAUGUUUUGGCCAUCUUGACAAUGUAUCCCCUUACUUUUAACCUAAUUAGAAAUCAACAACUUCAUUUAUUUGCUUGUCCGGGAGAAGACAUGCAGAGGGCUUUAUUCUGUUACAUAGGAAACAUUAUUUUUAGAAAACAAACACCAAAAUUAUUUCCUCUGUGUGCGUAGGGCGAAAUAUUCAAAUGCAACCUGUGCCAUUGCCGACAUAAGCGACACACUGACAGAUUCAAUUUCGUUUUGAGAGCUGCUCCGGCAUUGACAGAAUAUUAAGCAUGUCCCUGCUAGAGAGCUGCACCAAUUUUUUAAUUUUUCUCUAUCGUGAAACUCCAACAAAACAGCUUGCCACGUCAACACCAUCCAGCUGUUCAAGGUUGAGGGAUUACGCCCAGAAAUUCUGGUUCAUGGGGCACUAACAUCAAGAGCAGACAGACCAAGGAACUGGUGAGAGCUGACUUGGAAGCACUGAUGACUUCUCAAAGGGAGCGAGGGUGGAGCCCUCACAAAUAAGUAGCUUCUACGCUAGGUGAACACAUGGGCACAAGCCUGUGCCAUCAACAGGUGCAUUAGAGAGGAAAACUUAGCCUAGGAUGUCCCUGAAGCUCCUGGGGAGACCUGUGCUUCUCACUGGAACAGAGAUCAAAGCCUUAGCUUACUCCAGGCUUCUCCAGUUGGGUUUCACUCAGCUGGAACCACAGGUUUCCUCAUUAGCACACAGCUAACUCACUCAGGCAAUGAACCCCUUUCCUGUGGAUGUGUGGAACAGGACAUCAAGCCCACCUGUUCGUGACAGUGGCGUUGUGUUUCGAAGGAAAGCUUCUCUGGUAUAUAAGCUAGAGCAAGGCACCUUCAGACCAUACACACACAGAAUCUGCGAGGAAAGCUGGAGUGUUCUGUCUGGCAGUCCAACUCUGCUGAUCUCAAGAGCUCUCUGAGGACCUUGGGGCAGUAGCUCCUGCCUGGGCCAAGACAACUUUCUACCAGCAGUGGUGGAAACCAUGCAGCAGCCCCCAAAAGGAGAUCAGCUUAGCCACCUGCUUCACCUGCUAGCAAGCUGCUCCAGCAAAGAGAGGUUCUCGCCUUGCACCCACUAGCACCCAGCCAAGGCUCUCGGUUGGCCAAGUCAACUCCUCCAAGAACCAACUACAGAAAGGUGCCCCUCAACUAAAUCUGGACUCCAUCCUUUCAUUCCCCCGCCCCCAAAGUUGCCUGGAAAAACAGGGUGAUGCGUCUAUUAUUGGUUUGGAGUGUGCUUUUACUGGCUUAUUAAGAGACAUUAUCUUGUAUGCUAUUGGCUUGUGAAAUCAUUCUACUUUCUGCAGUGAACCUGUGUUAAAUAAAUUAUUGACAAUCCCAGUCUCUGAGAAAAACCUGCUGCCAGGACACAAUACCCUUCUAAAGAGCAUGGUUUUCUUUUGUGAUUAAAUGUCUGCUAUCCAUAAAAACUGACCUUGGGGAGCCUAAGACAAUUUUUCUUCCUAGACUUCAGUUAUGGGAACAGAAACGAUGUCUUCCAUGAGUCUCUCGUGGGUUAAGGCCAGGAAACUGACUGCACUGAUACCGGCUGAUAUAAACCUCGAGAAUGAUUUUAAUCGUAACUCUGAAGGUUUUUACCUCUUUCAGAAGUAAACAUUAAAGGAACAAGUUAUUAUGUACAAUUUUCCUGUUUAAAUCUUAAUUAGAAAAAAAUGUCCUUAUGUAUUAUUAUUAUAAACAUGAAGGACAGAUACGUCUUUCUGGCUUGCCGUACUGUGACAUCAAAUUGCAUGUGAUUAUCCCUCCCCUGUAUCCUCAUGGGACUCCUAUUAAGACAACUGAAUUUACUAAUUCCAAGACAGUAGCUUUUUAAUUUAACUUACCACCAGGUUGGAAUCCACAGCCACCAGAUAGCACUGACAUAGGAGGAAAAAUUCAAUGACUUUUUUCUGUCUAAAUAAAUGCCCCUCGGCAGCAAGGGGUCAAUGGUGCCUGGCCUCUUUCAGUGGUAUUGAUACAUCGGUGGCUGAAUUUUAAAUUGUUCCACUUUUAACAGGGUUAUAUUGUUAAACUACAAGCAACAAGGCUUUGUUAACAAACUGGUGGCAGGAGUUCCCAUCAUGGCACAGCGGAAGCAAAUCCGACUAGGAACCAUCAGGUUGCAGGUUCAAUCCCUGGCCUCACUCAGUGGGUUAAGGAUCCGGUGUUGCCAUGAGCUGUGGUGUAGGU